GGGUUUUGAGCCACCUGCGAGAUGGGCAGACACGGAGUUCUCUGGGUCCUACCCCCAUGAGUGCGCUUUGUCCUUUCUAAAAACCUGGGCUUUCCUGCUUGAAAGUCUCGCAGAAUCUAGUUGGUGGAAUCACUUCUCCAAAUCACACAGUUGAGUGCAUAAUCCUGGGUGGAGUGCAGGCUUUUUGACCUCUCAUGUCAUGUUACAAUUUAAAAGAAAAAACGGAGAAAAUUGGUCUGAAAUACCAUCUUUCAGGAAGAUGGUUAAAUUCAGAGGUUUACUCUUUAUGUGACUCAAGAUAAUUCAAUGAAAGGAGGCUUGUUUAAAAGUUAGGGAGAGGACACGCCUCCUUCCACACAUCACAGUCUUUUGAAGAUCACGUUCUGUUUCUCUGUUCUCCUCCUUUCCUUCCUGCAGACCAGGCUCAUUCUGCUACUCUUCUGCUUGUGGGUGAGUGAAAAUGGCCAUCCCAGCCCUAAUUGGACAGCGUCCUUCAGUUUAUUCCUCAGCAAUCAUUCAACCUCAUAAAUCUGACCCUGACAAGGUCUAUCUCUCCAUACUGAUAGUCAGAGGUGGAAUGGUAAUUUGUCCUCAGGCUUUCAUCUGCUUCUCCACUUGAGGGACCAUCAGUGCCAUGCGGUAAGGUGGCUCAGUGGUAAAGGAUCCAUGUGCCAAUGCAGGAGACCCAGGAGACUGGG
RNAcentral lists this long non-coding RNA (698 nucleotides) under Capra hircus (goat). RNAcentral's name for it is "lncRNA (ENSCHIG00010021239.1)". Lineage: Eukaryota; Metazoa; Chordata; Mammalia; Artiodactyla; Bovidae. The record is from RNAcentral.